This 907-nucleotide ribosomal RNA is filed under the name uncultured bacterium. Its description in RNAcentral is "bacterial SSU rRNA". It matches the Rfam family "Bacterial small subunit ribosomal RNA", at positions 9 to 873 of the family's 1533-position model. The record is from RNAcentral.
CCCUUAGAGUUUGAUCCUGGCUCAGAGUGAACGCUGGCGGCGUGGAUUAGGCAUGCAAGUCGAGCGAUCCUUGUUUGUCUUUAUUGGAGUGCUUGCACAAAGAUAAAGAUGAACGCUGGAUAGCGGCAAACGGGUUAGUAACACGUGAACAACCUUCCCUGAAGACGGGCAUAGCAUCGUGAAAACGGUGGUAAUUCCCGAUAGACCUCGAAAAUCGCAUGGUUUUCAUGGUAAAGGUGGGGACCUUCGGGCCCACUACUUUAGGAUGGGUUCGCGUCCUAUCAGCUUGUUGGCGGGGUAACGGCCCACCAAGGCUUUUGACGGGUAGCUGGUCUGAGAGGACGACCAGCAACACUGGGACUGAGACACUGCCCAGACUCCUACGGGAGGCUGCAGUCGAGAAUCUUUAGCAAUGGGCGAAAGCCUGACUAUGCGACGCCGCGUGCAGGAUGAAGGUCUUCGGAUUGUAAACUGCUUUUGUUAGGAAAGAACACUUCGGCAUAAAUAGUGCCGGAGCUGACGGUACCUAACGAAUAAGCCACGGCCAACUCCGUGCCAGCAGCCGCGGUAAUACGGAGGUGGCGAGCGUUACUCGGAAUCAUUGGGUGUAAAGGGCAAGUAGGCGGUCUGUUAAGUGAGGGGUGAAAGCUUCCGACUCAAUCGGGAAAUUGCCUUUCAAACUAUCAGACUUGAGGUUGGAAGGGGGAAAUGGAAUUAGCAGUGUAAGGGUGAAAUCUGUAGAUAUUGCUAAGAACACCGGCGGCGAAGCGAUUUCCUGGUCCAAAUCUGACGCUGAAUUGCGAAAGCUAGGGAGCAACAGAAUUAGAUACUCUGGUAGUCUAGCCGUAACGAUGAGCACUAGUGUGGUCUUCGGGAUCAGUGCCGCAGCUACGCAUAGUGCUCACUG